RNAcentral lists this long non-coding RNA (1575 nucleotides) under Macaca fascicularis (crab-eating macaque). RNAcentral describes it as "lncRNA (ENSMFAG00000058907.1)". Lineage: Eukaryota; Metazoa; Chordata; Mammalia; Primates; Cercopithecidae. The record is from RNAcentral.
GUAGCACAAUCUCAGCUCACUGCAACCUCUGCCUCCCAGGUUCAAGCGAUACUCCUGCCUCAGCCUUCUGAGUAGCUGGGAUUACAGGCAUGCACCACUGCACCCAGUUAAUUUUUGUAUUUUUAGUAGAGACAGGGUUUCACCAUGUCGGCUAGGCUGGUCUCAAACUCCCGACCUCAGGUGAUCCACCCGCCUCAGCCUCCCAAAGGGCUGGAAUUACAGGCAUGAGCCACUGCGCCCAGCCAUAGGAAGCAAUCUUUGUGCCAGGUCAGCACAGGUCACCAGGCAACACUGCCGCUCACGUAUUGCUGGCAUGGGGCAGUUGCCAGGCUUCCAGCUCCUGCAGUUCACGCAGAUUCUCCUCCUUCAGCUUUGCUGAAUCUAGGGCCAGGUGCGCGUUCACUUAUUUGGUGAAAUGUGCAACCUUCUUCUAAGGGUCACCACAUCGUCCAAGUCAGAGGUGAUGAGAAAUAGACAGGAAUUCCACCUUCUCCUCAAGGGAUCCAUUUGUCCAAGUUUCAGCUGGCUCUUGAUUUGUCCCUCUUCAUAUUGGGUUUUCUUCUCACCUGAUGACCCUGUGGAUCUACAGCAAUCCAAGUCCACAAGUAAACACUGAGGCAACAGCUUUCUGCAAUCUCUUUGUCAGCUCCCACAAUUAUGUGAACUCUAAUUCCUAUAGUAAUUCCCUCUUCUACAUACUAAUGAUCUUGCUUCCCUGAUCAAACCUUAACUGAUACAAUAGGUAAAUAGAAACUGCCAUUUUUCAAGAGCCUACAAUGGGCCCAUAUAUUACCUUAUGUAUCUUCACAACAUCCAUAUAGCAGGCUGAGAUUUUUAACCCCAUUCUACACUUGGGGAAACCAAAGACCAGGGUGGUUAAGUCAUAGGAACAGGCAGAACUAGGAUUCAAACCCUGGUCUGUCCAUCUCCUGAGCCUCAGCUCUUGUCACUUCGUCACUCUGAAACAUAUCACAAGUACAUAUCUCAUUAGCAGUAAAACUGCUGCAAAUGUGAUACAUACUUAUUAGAAAUAGGAAAAACUUUUAGAUAUAUCCCAAGACAUUACCAAAGGAGUGGCAAAAAAAAAAAAGGAGGCUAUCUCCCCCACAAAAGAUAGUAAAACACUGAUGAAAGGAAAUGAAUUGUAGACUUGCUGGUCAUCAGGUAAGUGGCAGAUUGGGCAAACUGGUUUAGGCAAUAUCUCAAGUGCAGGGGUCUGAUCCUUCUGUGUAAGGCAAGGCUGAAAAGAAAUUUGACUUCUGGCAGAAAUGCAAUAGUUGUUUCUCUGCACAGUUUACCACUCAGCAUUCUUCCCGCUGGCCAACAAUCUCUGACAGUCCAACUGGGAGAAAAUCAAAGAAGCCAUUGAGUGAAGGCUGCGCUGGGUCUGUGCCCGAGAGUCACAGGAUCCCAGAACAAAGUGGGAAGGCACGAGCCACAGCGGCCUUCUAAGAAUGCCUGAGCGGCCAGCCCUCGAGGUUUUCUAUUUCCCUAAGGACCAAGGGAAGCAUCUUAGAACAAGGCUAUAGCUGCUCUGUUGACCACAAAGAGCAAAGCAAAUUUAUGUUGCAUGGC